RNAcentral lists this ribosomal RNA (253 nucleotides) under uncultured bacterium. Its description in RNAcentral is "partial 16S ribosomal RNA". It matches the Rfam family "Bacterial small subunit ribosomal RNA", at positions 524 to 776 of the family's 1533-position model. The record is from RNAcentral.
UACAGAGGUCCCAAGCGUUGUUCGGAUUCACUGGGCGUAAAGGGUGCGUAGGUGGUUGAAUAAGUUUGAUGUGAAAUCUCCGAGCUUAACUCGGAAACUGCAUUGAAUACUGUUUGACUAGAGGAUUGGAGGGGGGACUGGAAUUCUCGGUGUAGCAGUGAAAUGCGUAGAUAUCGAGAGGAACACCAGUGGCGAAGGCGAGUCCCUGGACAACUCCUGACACUGAGGCACGAAAGCUAGGGGAGCAAACAGG